CUCUCGGUGCUAUUACUGGCAUUUAUCUACUGGAGAUUCAGAGGAGGCAGAAAUGUGAAAAAGGUGACCAGGGAUGAAGUAGAACUAAAUAGAGAACAAGACAAUCGGGAUGACGUGACGUAUUCUGCUGUAGUCCAUGUUAAAACUGCCGCCACACCAGCUCACAUAGAGAGUGACCCAGCAGAGCACACUGAGUACGCCCCAAUCAAAGUUAAACGCUAAACGUCAAGAAAGAAUAUAGUCAAUUUAAUGGUGAGCAUUUUAAAGAGAUUGAAACAACCAUGUACAUUUUAUUAUUGAGGGUUUUGUGUAACUUCAGUUUAAGAAGAAAACCUGUUUAUUGUUUGGAGGAGCU
Long non-coding RNA from Megalobrama amblycephala (Wuchang bream), 355 nucleotides. RefSeq lists it as uncharacterized. Lineage: Eukaryota; Metazoa; Chordata; Actinopteri; Cypriniformes; Xenocyprididae. The record is from RefSeq and is a predicted model, not a curated record. The transcript has 3 exons.